RNAcentral lists this transfer RNA (71 nucleotides) under Bacillus subtilis. RNAcentral describes it as "tRNA-Met". It matches the Rfam family "tRNA". From Rfam's summary of the family: Transfer RNA (tRNA) molecules are approximately 80 nucleotides in length. Their secondary structure includes four short double-helical elements and three loops (D, anti-codon, and T loops). Lineage: Bacteria; Bacillati; Bacillota; Bacilli; Caryophanales; Bacillaceae. The record is from RNAcentral. RNAcentral also lists the same sequence under 2 other names.
GCGGGGUGGAGCAGUUCGGUAGCUCGUCGGGCUCAUAACCCGAAGGUCGCAGGUUCAAAUCCUGCCCCCGC